This 610-nucleotide long non-coding RNA is filed under the name Fukomys damarensis (Damara mole-rat). RNAcentral describes it as "lncRNA (ENSFDAG00000027549.1)". Lineage: Eukaryota; Metazoa; Chordata; Mammalia; Rodentia; Bathyergidae. The record is from RNAcentral.
CACUCUCUCUUUGUGGUUCCUCAGCUGCUACACCUCUCUCUCCUUUCAUACACUUGCAAUGAUGUGUACUGACUGGAACUGCACUCUAAUAAUCUUUUAAAGCCAAAAAAAUGCCAUAUAUAAAUUAUACACCAUUAAUGCCGGAGCUGAAUUUAGUCCUAGGCAGACUCUCCCAGCUCACUUUGUUUCCUGAAAUGUCUCCGUGGCACAGAUAAGAAGAUCCAUACCCGGAGUUCUGGGGAUGGGACAAGCUAAGUGCUCAGGAUCCUGGAUUCAGAUAGAUGAAAGAUACCCCCAGAAAACAAACAGAAAGGGACCCUCUCUGCAUGCCACAGGCAAAGUCCUCUGGAGAAACGAGACCAGAGACAGCAUGAUGCAGAUGGCAGACAGAAGAGAAAAUUCUGAGAUUUUGUAUGUUGAACACACACAUAGAUUGUCCAGCUGCUGCCAACUUCUCAUUAGGAGGUACUUACCAGCUACUUGUAAAUUCAGUGCUUGUUUCAGAACUGAACAGAAGCCCAGAGCUGUGAAGAGUUAUGAGCUCCUGAUCCCAGGUACAAAGCUCAGCACAGUUCUUUUCCAGCCACUCCUAGACCACCUUACACACGCC